RNAcentral lists this ribosomal RNA (230 nucleotides) under uncultured bacterium. RNAcentral describes it as "partial 16S ribosomal RNA". It matches the Rfam family "Bacterial small subunit ribosomal RNA", at positions 104 to 334 of the family's 1533-position model. The record is from RNAcentral.
CGGGGUGGAGUAAUGUCUGGGAAACUGCCUGAUGGAGGGGGGUAACUGCUGGAAACGGUAGCUAAUACCGCAUAACGUCGCAAGACCAAAGAGGGGGACCUUCGGGCCUCUUGCCAUCGGAUGCGCCCAGAUGGGAUUAGCUAGUAGGUGGGGUAACGGCUCACCUAGGCGACGAUCCCUAGCUGGUCUGAGAGGAUGACCAGCCACACUGAAACUGAGACACGGUCCAG